Non-coding RNA from Cinara cedri, 253 nucleotides. Lineage: Eukaryota; Metazoa; Arthropoda; Insecta; Hemiptera; Aphididae. The record is from the annotation of a GenBank genome assembly.
ACACAUUAAAAAACAAUUACGAUAAGCAGUUUUUUUUACAUUUAAUGAAUAUUUUUACUAUACCAAUAACGACUGUAUAAUUCGACAACUUCCAGCUGAGCAUUCUAUAUAUAAACACACUGCCGUUAGCCGGGUAUAGGGGUUCAUGAAGUCUCAGGUGUCGCAGUGUUUACUCAGCACACUUUUAAUAAAUUAUCCGGUCAAUGAUUAUUUGAUUCAUUUUCUACAGAGUUUCAAUUAAAAAAUACGUAAG